GUCUAUGGCCACGCCACCCUGAACGCGCCCGAUCUCAUCUGAUCUCAGAAGUCUUGGGCAGACUUGGCCAUCUGGAGGACAGUACCCUUAACCCUGAGUUUGGUUAACUUUGCAUGGGGACCAUGAACCAUGGCCA
Cebus imitator (Panamanian white-faced capuchin) is the source of this 136-nucleotide ribosomal RNA. NCBI's taxonomy places the organism in Eukaryota, Metazoa, Chordata, Mammalia, Primates, Cebidae. The record is from Ensembl.